CAACGGCCUUAGGCACAAAACUUUGUUUCAUAAACCCAACGUGGAAGAUUUCUGCAAUAAACCAUCGAAAUAUGUGAUGCUGAACGUACAGGAGGUAGACACUAACAUCUCGUUGAUUAUUACUCAGAUCUUGUUCCACAAGCACUCUCCAGUUAACCACUGUUAUGAGCGCCUCUGCUCUGAACCCUUGGAGACCCCAACCCAAGACAGAGGGUUGUGUAGUGAAAAUAUUGAACACAGAAGCAGUGGAUGUGAAACAAUUGAGAAAAUCGUUCUGGCAAGAAUGUGUGUUCAACACCAACCUUCCAGCUCCUUCCUAGCAACCACAUGAGUGAGUACUUGAAUUCCUGCACACU
Molecule: long non-coding RNA, 356 nt
Filed under: Equus asinus (donkey)
Lineage: Eukaryota; Metazoa; Chordata; Mammalia; Perissodactyla; Equidae
Description: lncRNA (ENSEASG00005028184.1)
Source: RNAcentral